GUAAGGAAUAUUGGUCAAUGGGGGCAACCCUGAACCAGCCAUGCCGCGUGAAGGAUGAAGGCGUUAUGCGUUGUAAACUUCUUUUGUAUGGGAAGAAUGACAGGGAUUCAUCCUUGGAGAGACGGUACCAUACGAAUAAGCACCGGCUAACUCCGUGCCAGCAGCCGCGGUAAUACGGAGGGUGCAAGCGUUAUCCGGAAUCACUGGGUUUAAAGGGUACGUAGGCGGUUAAUUAAGUCAGUAGUGAAAGACUGUCGCUCAACGACGGAUGUGCUAUUGAUACUGGUUAACUUGAAUCAGGUUAGAGUUGGCGGAAUGGGUCAUGUAGCGGUGAAAUGCUUAGAUAUGAUGUAGAACACCGAUUGCGAAGGCAGCUCACUAAGCAAAUAUUGACGCUGAGGCACGAAAGCGUGGGGAUCAAACAGGAUUAGAUACCCCGGUAGUCC
This 446-nucleotide ribosomal RNA is filed under the name uncultured bacterium. Its description in RNAcentral is "partial 16S ribosomal RNA". It matches the Rfam family "Bacterial small subunit ribosomal RNA", at positions 354 to 796 of the family's 1533-position model. The record is from RNAcentral.